GGGAUUAUAGUUCAAUCGGUCAGAGCACCAUCAUGUCAAGGCGAAAGUUGCGGGUUCGAGUCUUGUCAGUCCCG
This 74-nucleotide transfer RNA is filed under the name Nicotiana sylvestris (wood tobacco). It matches the Rfam family "tRNA". Rfam says of the family: Transfer RNA (tRNA) molecules are approximately 80 nucleotides in length. Their secondary structure includes four short double-helical elements and three loops (D, anti-codon, and T loops). Further hydrogen bonds mediate the characteristic L-shaped molecular structure. tRNAs have two regions of fundamental functional importance: the anti-codon, which is responsible for specific mRNA codon recognition, and the 3' end, to which the tRNAs corresponding amino acid is attached (by aminoacyl-tRNA synthetases). tRNAs cope with the degeneracy of the genetic code in two manners: having more than one tRNA (with a specific anti-codon) for a particular amino acid; and 'wobble' base-pairing, i.e. permitting non-standard base-pairing at the 3rd anti-codon position. Lineage: Eukaryota; Viridiplantae; Streptophyta; Magnoliopsida; Solanales; Solanaceae. The record is from Rfam by way of RNAcentral.